This 253-nucleotide ribosomal RNA is filed under the name uncultured bacterium. RNAcentral's name for it is "partial 16S ribosomal RNA". It matches the Rfam family "Bacterial small subunit ribosomal RNA", at positions 524 to 776 of the family's 1533-position model. The record is from RNAcentral.
UACGUAGGGUGCGAGCGUUAAUCGGAAUUACUGGGCGUAAAGCGUGCGCAGGCGGUUCGUUAUGUCCGAUGUGAAAGCCCCGAGCUUAACUUGGGAAUGGCAUUGGAAACUGGCGGGCUGGAGUGCGGCAGAGGGGGGUGGAAUUCCACGUGUAGCAGUGAAAUGCGUAGAGAUGUGGAGGAACACCGAUGGCGAAGGCAGCCCCCUGGGUCAAGAUUGACGCUCAUGCACGAAAGCGUGGGGAGCAAACAGG